UGAGGGAUUGGUUUGUUUGACUUAAAGCUCCUUUUAACAGCAGAGCCAGAGCUUAUUCCAGUAUACAAAAUACCCUCCAGGACUGUACUACCUGGGUUUUUGUUUAACACCUACAAAGGUGUGAAAAGCUAUCAAUAACUUGAAAAAAAAAAAAAAAAGACUUUAGCAGGAAGAUAUCUCUUUUUUCCUGCUUUACUUAGCAAGCAAGCUGUAGGUGGCUGUAUCUUGUUAGUUUAGGGACAAUACAAACACAUAAAUCCUUUGGACCAGAAUAAGAAAUAUAUUAAUUCUGCAUACAGAAAGAUACUUUAAUGAACAGAAAGUGACCUUUUUGUUACAUCGUAACUGAUUCAUAGGGACACAUCAAACGCCCAACACUCAAAAGCAUGCCAACUUCUAGUCCACUCUCCAUUUUUGCAAUUACAUGAUCAAACGAUUACUGAUAUCUCCAUAGUUAUGAACUGCCUCCAUACAAAUGACUCUGGAGGCGAAGCUCAUCUUCAUUACUCAUCAUCUGUGCAUCUCCUGUGAUGACAUGGCAGGACUGAAACCAGCUAAGACUUCAUUUUUCCAGAAUCCACAUGAUGGAAGUUAGCUUUUCAGGACACUUGCUGUACACUGAGUAACUGCAGCUGGUGUAGCCUAGAACAUCAGUGUUUGCUUAGGAACUCUGCUUUUAAGCAGACUUUUCAAAACAGACAAAAGGAGGUUUAAGAACAAAUCAAACCUAACAACAACAACAAAGACAACCAGAAAAAUGAGAUAAACACCUGCAG
RNAcentral lists this long non-coding RNA (776 nucleotides) under Anser brachyrhynchus (Pink-footed goose). Its description in RNAcentral is "lncRNA (ENSABRG00000013366.1)". Lineage: Eukaryota; Metazoa; Chordata; Aves; Anseriformes; Anatidae. The record is from RNAcentral.